RNAcentral lists this ribosomal RNA (440 nucleotides) under uncultured bacterium. RNAcentral's name for it is "partial 16S ribosomal RNA". It matches the Rfam family "Bacterial small subunit ribosomal RNA", at positions 338 to 795 of the family's 1533-position model. The record is from RNAcentral.
CCUACGGGAGGCUGCAGUGGGGAAUAUUGCACAAUGGGGGAAACCCUGAUGCAGCGACGCCGCGUGAGUGAAGAAGUAAUUCGUUAUGUAAAGCUCUAUCAGCAGGGAAGAAAAUGACGGUACCUGAGUAAGAAGCCCCGGCUACCUACGUGCCAGCAGCCGCGGUAAUACGUAGGGGGCAAGCGUUAUCCGGAUUUACUGGGUGUAAAGGGAGCGUAGACGGCAGUGCAAGUCUGGAGGGAAAGGCGGGGGCUCAACCCCCGGACUGCUCUGGAAACUGUACGGCUUGAGUGCAGGAGAGGUAAGUGGAAUGCCUAGUGUAGCGGUGAAAUGCGUAGAUAUUAGGAGGAACACCAGUUGCGAAGGCAGCUUACUGGACUGUAACUGACGUUGAGGCUCGAAAGCGUGGGGAGCAAACAGGAUUAGAUACCCGAGUAGUC